AGAAGAAGUCCUGGCUAACUCCGUGCCAGCAGCCGCGGUAAUACGGAGAGGGCUAGCGUUAUUCGGAAUUAUUGGGCGUAAAGGGCGCGUAGGCGGAUUAGUAAGUUAAAAGUGAAAUCCCAAGGCUCAACCUUGGAAUUGCUUUUAAAACUGCUAAUCUAGAGAUUGAAAGAGGAUAGAGGAAUUCCUAGUGUAGAGGUGAAAUUCGUAAAUAUUAGGAGGAACACCAGUGGCGAAGGCGUCUAUCUGGUUCAAAUCUGACGCUGAGGCGCGAAGGCGUGGGGAGCAAACAGGAUUAGAUACCCUGGUAGUCCACGCUGUAAACGAUGAAUGUUAAAUAUGGGAAGUUUUACUUUCUGUAUUACAGCUAACGCGUUAAACAUUCCGCCUGGGGACUACGGUCGCAAGAUUAAAACUCAAAGGAAUUGACGGGGACCCGCACAAGCGGUGGAGCAUGUGGUUUAAUUCGAUGCAACGCGAAAAACCUUACCACUCCUUGACAUGGAAAUUAUACCUAUUCGAAGGGAUAGGGUCGGUUCGGCCGGGUUUCACACAGGUGUUGCAUGGCUGUCGUCAGCUCGUGUCGUGAGAUGUUGGGUUAAGUCCCGCAACGAGCGCAACCCUCAUCCUUAGUUACCAUCAGGUAAUGCUGGGGACUUUAAGGAAACUGCCAGUGAUAAACUGGAGGAAGGUGGGGAUGAUGUCAAGUCAUCAUGGCCCUUAUGGAGUGGGCUACACACGUGCUACAAUGGUGGCUACAAUGGGCUGCAAAGUCGCAAGGCUAAGCCAAUCCCUUAAAAGCCAUCUCAGUUCGGAUUGUACUCUGCAACUCGAGUGCAUGAAGUUGGAAUCGCUAGUAAUCGUGGAUCAGCACGCCACGGUGAAUACGUUCUCGGGUCUUGUACACACUGCCCGUCACGCCAUGGGAAUUGGUUUCACUCGAAGCUAACGACCUAACCGCAAGGAGGGA
This 970-nucleotide ribosomal RNA is filed under the name Wolbachia endosymbiont of Ixodes ricinus. RNAcentral's name for it is "bacterial SSU rRNA". It matches the Rfam family "Bacterial small subunit ribosomal RNA", at positions 483 to 1451 of the family's 1533-position model. Lineage: Bacteria; Pseudomonadati; Pseudomonadota; Alphaproteobacteria; Rickettsiales; Anaplasmataceae. The record is from RNAcentral.